UGACCAUGACAUCAUUGCCGUGAGUAUUACAUCAGGUACUGAGGAAUGUCUCGGUCAGUACCUUCUGUCAUAUUCUAAGUGAUGACGUCUUUCCCAGCACC
RNAcentral lists this microRNA precursor (101 nucleotides) under Lottia gigantea (owl limpet). RNAcentral's name for it is "microRNA lgi-mir-12 precursor". Its record names the gene lgi-mir-12. Lineage: Eukaryota; Metazoa; Mollusca; Gastropoda; Lottiidae. The record is from miRBase by way of RNAcentral.